RNAcentral lists this ribosomal RNA (306 nucleotides) under uncultured Peredibacter sp. RNAcentral describes it as "bacterial SSU rRNA". It matches the Rfam family "Bacterial small subunit ribosomal RNA", at positions 1033 to 1340 of the family's 1533-position model. Lineage: Bacteria; Pseudomonadati; Bdellovibrionota; Bacteriovoracia; Bacteriovoracales; Bacteriovoracaceae. The record is from RNAcentral.
GAGAGGUGCUGCAUGGCUGUCGUCAGCUCGUGCUGUGAAAUGUUGGGUUAAGUCUCGCAACGAGCGCAACCCCUAUCGUCUGUUGCCAGCAUUAAGUUGGGCACUCUGACGAGACUGCCUGGGUUAACCAGGAGGAAGGUGGGGACGACGUCAAGUCCUCAUGGCCCUUAUGUCUAGGGCUACACACGUAAUACAAUGGCGCGUACAGAGGGAAGCGAACUCGCAAGGGGGAGCAAAUCUCAAAAAGCGCGCCUCAGUUCGGAUUGGAGUCUGCAACUCGACUCCAUGAAGUUGGGAUCGCUAGUA